AUAGAGAAAAAUGGUAUAAGAGUUUUUUGCCUUUUAAUGAAGAAUUGUUUUUUGAAAAUGUCUCCCUAGUGGUGGUAAACAUGAAUAAUGGUACCAAGAAAGUGAUAAACAUGAAAAUUCUCCGGUUACAAAUGUUUUUUUCCCUCUUUAAAACUGAAGGUAAAAGUGGAUAGUGUAAAUAUGAAAAAUGGUAUUAUGAAUGUGAUAUUUUUGGUAAUUUUUCUUAAGUAUCUCAAUUAUUUUAGAAUAAUGAAAUUCAAUUCAAGUAAUUAAACAUAACAAUAACUCAAAUUUAUGAAUUUUACAGUAUACUUCAUUUAAAAAGAAUAUUAAAGGAAUAUUUUAAAAUAUCAGUCACUUUUUAUAAAAAUAAACUUUAAUUAUUAAUACAAUAUAUCCUUCAUUGAUAAAAUAUAAUAUUCAACUAGUUAAUACUUAUAUUAUUUUAUUAUAUGAUGCAUUAUGUUAAAGUUGAUGUUUUUACGAUUACAUGAUGAAUCAGUUGGAAAUUGCCAAACCCAAUUUGAACCAUUAUCAUUAGAAGUGUGCCUACAGUCUAUUGAAAAAAGCAUUCGCCUCAGAUCCCUGAUUAAUGUGACUUUAUUUAGGGCCUCAAAAAUUUAAAAGAAUUUCUGGUUUAGUGGUUUAAACUUAUUUUCUUUUUAAACAUUUCCAGAGAGUCAACUAAUUCACCUUCUAAAUUCAUGUAUUUUUCUAUAUUAAAUAUUCUGAAUUCAUGUAUUUUUUCUAUAUCAAAUAAUAUAGCAUAUUUACGUAAUAAACUUAUUUUUUUACAGUGUUAAAAGCGAUAUAUCGUAUUAAGAAAUUGUUUUCAAUACAAUUGUACAUAAGUUUAUUUUUAAAAUUUGCCUUAAGCGCCUAAAACCUUUCGUACGGCACUGAUUAUUAUUUAUGUGAACUAUCUGUUGAAGCAAGAACCAAUCGAUUUGAUUUUUAUAAGUGGUUUAUCCCCACCUAGUUGACACUUAAAACUACAACUUUUAGUUCAUAGUGUUAAGAAUUUGUUCAAAGUAUUCGUUAGAUCUUUGCAUUUUCAGUCUCUUCAUUUUAGCUUUUCUCCUCAAGUAAUACAUCUGUUUGCCAAAAACUCGGACAACACAUGAAAUGCAUGCAUUGAAGACCAAAUUGAUCAAAACAUAUGAAUUCACGAGUGAGUUAGACAUAUACAACACCAACAAACACAAAAGCAUAAGUCCUUCUAUCUCUCACUAAGAGUCGGCUAGAAAAUGAAGUAAAAAAAUAACUUAAUUUAAAUUAGUUGCACUGUUUCCAACCGAGCUAUGACGCGAUCAAUUGGUCUUAGACCACCUCCAUCGGGAGGUUCCUAACAGAAGUUUUAAAGAAAAGCAAAAAAAAUGAAAAAUGGACAAAAUUCAAAGAACCGAUGCUUAAUAUGGAGGUUUUGGAGUUGGCAAGGAACCUUACGUGUCAGCGGGUGAAUGGACUUUCCAUUUAUUUUUCUCUCUCUCUCUCUUUCGUCACAUCUUCUCUUUUCCACCUCCAGUAUCGAGAGCACGACAUCUUCUCUGGCGAUUUUGAUCUCCAUCUUCAUCAUCCAAUCUCGAUCACUCCGCUUCUCUGGCGAUUUCGAUCUUCAUCUUCCUCAUCCAAUCUCGAUCACUCCAUCUUCUCUGUCCGGAUUGAAAGACGAAUCUGUUUUGUCUGGAGGAGAUCAAUGACUCAAGACCAAUCGUUUUGGUCAGGAACGGAGAUGGGAUUGAUUCGACUGUGCUCCUCAAACGGAUAAAUCGGUUUUUUCUCAUUCUAUGACUCCUGGAGAAAUCAUUGCUGUGAGUUCCGCCAGUAUCAAAGGUGCCACAGCCUUUGAAGUUUCAGAACUAGAGGCGAUGGAAAUUGCUUCUUCCGAAGCUUCAUGUUCUCUUACCUUAAGCAUAUUUUGGAAUCACAAGAUCGUGGUGAAGUUGAUCGUGAGAUGUCUCUUCUCAUAUUAUAUCAUUUUUUUUCUUGCAGCUACGAAGAGCUGGUUAACAGAAAUAGAGAUCAGUCUGUCUCUGACUACAUUGUAAUGUUCUUCUGGUUUGUUACUGCUGGUGAAGUACGAACUCGUGCAGAGUUCUUCGAACCUUUUAUAACAUGAUUAUCAAACUCAACGGUUGAUCAGUGAACCGCUAUUAAGGGUGGUAGCGGGGAAACAAGUUAGCACCUGAGUUUGGUAGAAAUCAGUUUUCGAUGAUCAAAGGAAACGGAACCCUAAGUUUCAAAAUGAUUAACAAGUAAAACAAGAUAGCUAAAGUGAAUUUCGGUGAGCUAAACAAGGAAGCACAAGAAGAAAGAAAACAUAGAGUGGGGCUACCACAAACAUAAAAAGGAACUAAAGUGCGUACUAAGUGAAACCGGUAAGUGCACCAUUAGUGCUAAAAAAGGAAGCAAUUAUGAAGUGAUUCACUCUCAUCCAAGUUUGCGAUAAUGAUACAGUUCAUACAUAUAUAUAUAAAAUAUGGCUCAAUUUCAA
RNA transcript from Brassica napus (rape), 2494 nucleotides. RefSeq lists it as uncharacterized. NCBI's taxonomy places the organism in Eukaryota, Viridiplantae, Streptophyta, Magnoliopsida, Brassicales, Brassicaceae. The transcript is spliced from 6 exons. The record is from RefSeq and is a predicted model, not a curated record.